AGGUUGACCUCGGAUCAGGUAGGGAUACCCGCUGAACUUAAGCAUAUCAAUAAGCGGAGGAAAAGAAACCAACAGGGAUUGCCUCAGUAACGGCGAGUGAAGCGGCAAGAGCUCAAAUUUGAAAUCCGGCCCCUCUGGGGGCCUGAGUUGUAAUUUGCAGAGGAUGCUUCGGGCGCGACCGCGGUCCAAGUCCCCUGGAACGGGGCGUCGUAGAGGGUGAGAAUCCCGUCUCCGGCCGGCCGGUCUCGCCCGUGUGAAGCUCCUUCGACGAGUCGAGUUGUUUGGGAAUGCAGCUCCAAAUGGGUGGUAAAUUUCAUCUAAAGCUAAAUACUGGUCGGAGACCGAUAGCGCACAAGUAGAGUGAUCGAAAGAUGAAAAGCACUUUGAAAAGAGAGUUAAACAGCAUGUGAAAUUGUUGAAAGGGAAGCGCUUGCGACCAGAGUCGGCCGCGGGGGUUCAGCGGGCAUUCGUUGCCCGUGCAAUCCCCCGUGGCCGGGCCAGCGUCGGUUUCGACGGCCGGUCAAAGGCCCCCGGAAUGUGUCGCCUCUCGGGGCGUCUUAUAGCCGGGGGUGCAAUGCGGCCAGUCGGGACCGAGGAACGCGCUCCGGCACGGACGCUGGCUUAAUGGUCGUCAGCGACCCG
RNAcentral lists this ribosomal RNA (642 nucleotides) under Histoplasma capsulatum var. capsulatum. RNAcentral's name for it is "eukaryotic LSU rRNA". It matches the Rfam family "Eukaryotic large subunit ribosomal RNA", at positions 1 to 651 of the family's 3401-position model. Lineage: Eukaryota; Fungi; Ascomycota; Eurotiomycetes; Onygenales; Ajellomycetaceae. The record is from RNAcentral.